AAGCCAUGCCAGUCGUAUGGGAUACCUAAACUUCCCAUGGCAAACUGCUCAGUAACACAUGAUUAACUUACCCUAAAGAAAAUAAUAACCUCGGGAAACUGAGGAUAAUAAUUUAUAGUUGAGAAGGCUUGGGAAAGUUUUUCAAUGAAAUGGAUAAGAAAAAUGGUUCUUAUCUGCUUUAGGAUAGGAUCGUGGUCGAUUAUGGCUGUUGGUGAGGUAACGGCUCACCAAACCUAUAAUCGAUAAGGGCCGUGAGAGCGGGAGCCCUGAGAUGGGUCCUGAGACAAUGACCCAGGCCUUACGAGGCGCAGCAGGCGCGAAACCUCCGCAAUACACGAAAGUGUGACGGGGUUACCCAAAGCGUUCAUUUAUGGACUGUGGUAGGUGAGUAAUGUCCCCUACUAGAAAGGAGAGGGCAAGGCUGGUGCCAGCCGCCGCGGUAAAACCAGCUCUUCAAGUGGUCGGGAUAAUUAUUGGGCUUAAAGUGUCCGUAGCCGGUUUAGUAAGUUCCUGGUAAAAUCGGAUAGCUUAACUAUCUGUAUGCUAGGAAUACUGCUAUACUAGAGGGCGGGAGAGGUCCGAGGUACUACAGGGGUAGGGGUGAAAUCCUAUAAUCCUUGUCGGACCACCAGUGGCGAAGGCGUCAGACUGGAACGCGCCUGACGGUGAGGGACGAAAGCCAGGGGAGCGAACCGGAUUAGAUACCCGGGUAGUCCUGUCCGUAAACGAUG
RNAcentral lists this ribosomal RNA (731 nucleotides) under uncultured archaeon. RNAcentral describes it as "bacterial SSU rRNA". It matches the Rfam family "Archaeal small subunit ribosomal RNA", at positions 46 to 762 of the family's 1478-position model. The record is from RNAcentral.